GCAGCGCUUCGGUCUGUCGCUGGCAUUCUCUUAUGGGGAUGCGAGAGGAAAGUCCGGGCAGCGCAGGGCAUCCCACUUCCGAAACUAGAAGCUAUUGGUGACAGUAGGUGUCGGCAGAAGAAAAUGACCGCCCGAAACUUAUCCCGUAUCCAUGCGGGGGUAGUGUCGGGUAAGGGUGAGAAGGUGGUGUAAGAGACCACCAGUUGGCGGGUGAUCGCCAGGCUGUGCCAUCUGGGAGCUGUAAGCUCAUGUAAACCGCAGAUUGAGGGCGGCUCGUCCGAUUGCCUUCGGGCUACUGUGGAGGGUAGAGUGCUUGAGCCUAGGGGUGACUCUAGGACUAGAUAAAUGGCAGACGACUCUGAGCGGUGUCAUCCGUGAGGAGCUACAGAACUCGGCUUAUAGGGGCACUGCUUUU
Molecule: RNase P RNA, 415 nt
Filed under: Prevotella sp. CAG:732
Lineage: Bacteria; Pseudomonadati; Bacteroidota; Bacteroidia; Bacteroidales; Prevotellaceae
Description: Bacterial RNase P class A
Rfam family: Bacterial RNase P class A
About the family: Ribonuclease P (RNase P) is a ubiquitous endoribonuclease, found in archaea, bacteria and eukarya as well as chloroplasts and mitochondria. Its best characterised activity is the generation of mature 5'-ends of tRNAs by cleaving the 5'-leader elements of precursor-tRNAs.
Source: Rfam by way of RNAcentral